This 119-nucleotide ribosomal RNA is filed under the name Cebus imitator (Panamanian white-faced capuchin). The record is from RNAcentral. Lineage: Eukaryota; Metazoa; Chordata; Mammalia; Primates; Cebidae.
AUAUAUGACCAUACCACCCUGAACGCACCCCAUCUCGUCUUAUCUUGAAUACUAAGCAGGGUUGGGCCUGGUUAGUACUUGGAUGGGAGGCCGCCUGUGAAUACCAGGUGGUGUAGGUU